AUACGGAGGAUGCAAGCGUUAUCCGGAUUUAUUGGGUUUAAAGGGUUCGUAGGCGGAAAAUUAAGUCAGUGGUGAAAGCCUGCAGCUCAACUGCAGAACUGCCAUUGAUACUGAUUUUCUUGAAUUUAUAUGAAGUGGGCGGAAUGCGUCAUGUAGCGGUGAAAUGCACAGAUAUGACGCAGAACACCAAUUGCGAAGGCAGCUCACUAAUGUAAUCUUGACGCUGAGGAACGAAAGCAUGGGGAGCGAACAGGAUUAGAAACCCUAGUAGUCC
This 274-nucleotide ribosomal RNA is filed under the name uncultured bacterium. RNAcentral describes it as "partial 16S ribosomal RNA". It matches the Rfam family "Bacterial small subunit ribosomal RNA", at positions 523 to 796 of the family's 1533-position model. The record is from RNAcentral.